UACGAAGGGGGCUAGCGUUGUUCGGAAUUACUGGGCGUAAAGGGCGCGUAGGGGGCCAACUAGGUCAGACGUGAAAUCCCUCGGCUUAACCGGGGAACUGCGUCUGAUACUGGAUGGCUUGAGUUUGGGAGAGGGACGCGGAAUUCCAGGUGUAGCGGUGAAAUGCGUAGAUAUCUGGAGGAACACCGGUGGCGAAGGCGGCGUCCUGGACCAAUACUGACACUGAAACGCGAAAGCCAGGGGAGCAAACGGG
RNAcentral lists this ribosomal RNA (253 nucleotides) under uncultured bacterium. RNAcentral describes it as "partial 16S ribosomal RNA". It matches the Rfam family "Bacterial small subunit ribosomal RNA", at positions 524 to 776 of the family's 1533-position model. The record is from RNAcentral.